Molecule: ribosomal RNA, 509 nt
Filed under: uncultured bacterium
Lineage: Bacteria
Description: bacterial SSU rRNA
Rfam family: Bacterial small subunit ribosomal RNA
Source: RNAcentral
AGCGAACGCUGGCGGCGUGCUUAACACAUGCAAGUCGAGGGAGAACGGAGGGCUUCGGCCUUCUUAGUAAACCGGCGCACGGGUGAGUAACACGUAGGUAACCUACCUCCGAGUUCGGGAUAACCUGUCGAAAGAUAGGCUAAUACCGGAUAAGACCACGAUGGCUUCGGCCACUGCGGUCAAAGAUGGCCUCUAUUUAUACGCUAUCGCUUGGGGAUGGGCCUGCGCACCAUUAGCUAGUUGGUGAGGUAACGGCUCACCAAGGCUACGAUGGUUAGUUGGUCUGAGAGGAUGACCAGCCACACUGGGACUGAGACACGGCCCAGACUCCUACGGGAGGCAGCAGUGGGGAAUAUUGCGCAAUGGGGGAAACCCUGACGCAGCGACGCCGCGUGGGUGAUGAAGGCCUUCGGGUCGUAAAGCCCUGUCGGAGGGAGAAGGACUCUCGUGCAAAUAGUUCGAGGGUUUGACGGUACCCUUAGAGGAAGCACCGGCUAACUCCGUGCCAG